RNAcentral lists this ribosomal RNA (994 nucleotides) under cf. Pseudicyema truncatum EM-2019. RNAcentral's name for it is "SSU rRNA". It matches the Rfam family "Eukaryotic small subunit ribosomal RNA", at positions 275 to 1335 of the family's 1831-position model. Lineage: Eukaryota; Metazoa; Dicyemida; Rhombozoa; Dicyemidae. The record is from RNAcentral.
GGCAGUGCCGGUGACAUAUCAAUUAGAUGUCCGCCCCAUCAAUUGUUGACGGUAAGGUAGUGGCUUACCGUGGUUACAACGGGUAACGGGGAAUCAGGGUUCGAUUCCGGAGAGGGAGCAUGAGAAAUGGCUGCCAGAUCUAUGGAUUGCAGCAGGUGCGAAAAUUAUCCACUUUUGGCAUAAAGAGAUAGUGAUGAUAAAUAACGGAUCUGGGCAUUUGUUCAGAGAUCGUAAUGAAAUAAUCGUAAAAGCUUUAAUGAACGCAAUUGGAGGGCAAGUCUGGUGCCAGCAGCCGCGGCAAUUCCAGUUCCAAUAGUGUAUACUAAAGUUGCUGCAGUUGAAAAGCUCGUAGUUGGAUCUCGGCUUGCUAGCGCGCGAGGCGUGUGAGUAGGCCUUUGCUGUAGUUGAGUGCUACGGCUUUACCUUGAACAAAAUAGAGUGCUUAAGGCAAGCAUUCUGCUUGAAUAUCUCAGCAUGGAAUAAUAGAAAAAGACUUUUCUGUUGGUUUACCAGUAGUAAAAGUAAUGAUUAACAGAGACAGACGGGGGCAUUCGUAUCGCACCGCUAGAGGUGAAAUUCGUAGAUCGGUGCGGGACGAACUACAGCGAAAGCAUUUGCCAAGGAUGUUUUCAUUAAUCAAGAACGAAAGUUGGAGUAUCGAAGUCGAUUAGAUCUCGUCGUAGUUCCAACUAUAAACGAUGCCAACUAGCACUCCGCUAAUAAGUAUUAGUACGUUAGCGGGUUGCUUCCGGGAAACCAAAGUCUUUGGGCUCCGGGGGAAGUAUGGUUGCAAAGCUGAAACUUAAAGGAAUUGACGGAAGGGCACCACCAGGAGUGGAGCCUGCGGCUCAAUUUGACUCAACACAGAAAAACUCACCCGGGCCGAACACAGUAAGGAUUGACAGACUGAUAGCUUUUUCUUGAUACUGUGGGUAGUGGUGCAUGGCCGUUGUUGGUUGGUGGAGUGAUCUGUCUGGUUAAUUCCGAUAACGAA